UCUCCGUAGGUGAACCUGCGGAGGGAUCAUUACAGAGUUUAUGCCCUACCGGGUAGAUCUCCCACCCUAUGUUAUUAUUACUUUGUUGCUUUGGCGGGCCGUUAGGCUCCGGCCCGACUACCGGCCCCGGCUGGUAAGCGCCCGCCAGAGGACCCAAAACACUGAAUAUUAGUGUCGUCUGAGUACUAUAUAAUAGUUAAAACUUUCAGCAACGGAUCUCUUGGUUCUG
RNAcentral lists this unclassified non-coding RNA (229 nucleotides) under plant metagenome. Its description in RNAcentral is "partial contains small subunit ribosomal RNA, internal transcribed spacer 1, and 5.8S ribosomal RNA". The record is from RNAcentral.